This 1176-nucleotide ribosomal RNA is filed under the name Salmonella enterica subsp. enterica serovar Kentucky. RNAcentral's name for it is "bacterial SSU rRNA". It matches the Rfam family "Bacterial small subunit ribosomal RNA", at positions 74 to 1220 of the family's 1533-position model. Lineage: Bacteria; Pseudomonadati; Pseudomonadota; Gammaproteobacteria; Enterobacterales; Enterobacteriaceae. The record is from RNAcentral.
AGCAGCUUGCUGCUUUGCUGACGAGUGGCGGACGGGUGAGUAAUGUCUGGGAAACUGCCUGAUGGAGGGGGAUAACUACUGGAAACGGUGGCUAAUACCGCAUAACGUCGCAAGACCAAAGAGGGGGACCUUCGGGCCUCUUGCCAUCAGAUGUGCCCAGAUGGGAUUAGCUUGUUGGUGAGGUAACGGCUCACCAAGGCGACGAUCCCUAGCUGGUCUGAGAGGAUGACCAGCCACACUGGAACUGAGACACGGUCCAGACUCCUACGGGAGGCAGCAGUGGGGAAUAUUGCACAAUGGGCGCAAGCCUGAUGCAGCCAUGCCGCGUGUAUGAAGAAGGCCUUCGGGUUGUAAAGUACUUUCAGCGGGGAGGAAGGUGUUGUGGUUAAUAACCGCAGCAAUUGACGUUACCCGCAGAAGAAGCACCGGCUAACUCCGUGCCAGCAGCCGCGGUAAUACGGAGGGUGCAAGCGUUAAUCGGAAUUACUGGGCGUAAAGCGCACGCAGGCGGUCUGUCAAGUCGGAUGUGAAAUCCCCGGGCUCAACCUGGGAACUGCAUUCGAAACUGGCAGGCUUGAGUCUUGUAGAGGGGGGUAGAAUUCCAGGUGUAGCGGUGAAAUGCGUAGAGAUCUGGAGGAAUACCGGUGGCGAAGGCGGCCCCCUGGACAAAGACUGACGCUCAGGUGCGAAAGCGUGGGGAGCAAACAGGAUUAGAUACCCUGGUAGUCCACGCCGUAAACGAUGUCUACUUGGAGGUUGUGCCCUUGAGGCGUGGCUUCCGGAGCUAACGCGUUAAGUAGACCGCCUGGGGAGUACGGCCGCAAGGUUAAAACUCAAAUGAAUUGACGGGGGGCCCGCACAAGCGGUGGGAGCAUGUGGUUUAAUUCGAUGCCAACGCGAAGAACCUUACCUGGUCUUGACAUCCACGGAAGUAUUCCAGAGAUGUGAUUGGUGCCUUCGGGAAACUGUGAGACAAGGGUCUGCAUGGUCUUGCUCCAGCUCCUGUUUGGAAAUGGUUGGGUUAAGUCCCGCAACGAGACGCCACCCCUUUAUCCUUUGUGUGCCCGCGAUUCCGGUCGGGAAACUCAAAGGAAAACUGCCCCGUUAAUAACCUGGUAAAAAGGGGGGGCAAGAACGCCAGAACAAUCCGGGCCCUUUAAUGACGAGGGUUACCCC